Taeniopygia guttata (zebra finch) is the source of this 371-nucleotide long non-coding RNA. RefSeq lists it as uncharacterized. NCBI's taxonomy places the organism in Eukaryota, Metazoa, Chordata, Aves, Passeriformes, Estrildidae. The record is from RefSeq and is a predicted model, not a curated record.
ACCUAAAAUCUAGGAUAAGGAACAAAGGAAAAAACCGGUAAAAUCCCAUAAAAAUUCUGUGCACGGGAGUCCGGACGAAGACGCAGGACGCCAGAACAUCGUAACCAGCUUUGGGAACAUGGACUGAUUGUGCAACGACCCCCGUUGGACUUAAAAAUACACAAAGUUAAACCUGGGGAUUGGAUAUUGAUUAAAGUGUGGAAGGAAGAAACCUUAAAACCCAAUUGGGAGGGACCUUAUCUCGUUUUGUUGACAACAGAAACAGCUGUCCGGACUGCUGAGCGUGGAUGGACUCAUGCCAGCCGCAUUAAAGGCCCAGUGACGAGACCCCACUGGAAAGUAAUCAGUACUCCAGGUGACACCAAGAUAAC